GGAUGUAUGGCCUAACUGGACAAAGGCACUCGUCUUUUAAACGAGGAUAUCUGGGUUCAAAUCCCAGUGCAUCCA
Molecule: transfer RNA, 75 nt
Filed under: Hydrotalea sp. AMD
Lineage: Bacteria; Pseudomonadati; Bacteroidota; Chitinophagia; Chitinophagales; Chitinophagaceae
Description: tRNA-Lys
Rfam family: tRNA
About the family: Transfer RNA (tRNA) molecules are approximately 80 nucleotides in length. Their secondary structure includes four short double-helical elements and three loops (D, anti-codon, and T loops). Further hydrogen bonds mediate the characteristic L-shaped molecular structure. tRNAs have two regions of fundamental functional importance: the anti-codon, which is responsible for specific mRNA codon recognition, and the 3' end, to which the tRNAs corresponding amino acid is attached (by aminoacyl-tRNA synthetases). tRNAs cope with the degeneracy of the genetic code in two manners: having more than one tRNA (with a specific anti-codon) for a particular amino acid; and 'wobble' base-pairing, i.e. permitting non-standard base-pairing at the 3rd anti-codon position.
Source: RNAcentral